AUGACUACCUGCUUCUCUGAUAUUAUUAAAGACCAUUCCCUGGAUUUUGUGGGCAUUCAAGAGACCAAGAAAAAGAAUUUUGACCCCAAAUAUUUGAGAAGAGUUGACCCCUUUGAUAGAUUCAGUUGGAACUGGAUUCCUUCUGUUGGUAAAUCUGGUUGGAUUCUGUGUGGAGUUAAGAAGGAAACAUUGGAAGUGGUCGCCUGGGUUGCAGGUAUCUACCUACUGCAGGUUACUGUGUUUUAUAUGACAAUUAAGAGUGUUUGGACACUGGUGGUGGUAUAUGGGGCGGCCCACGAUGACAAAAAAGAUGAAUUCCUUGCAGAAUUGGCCUCAAUGUGUAGUAGUAUUAGUACUCCUUAUGUGAUUGGUGGUGACUUUAAUAUCCUCCGUGAGAGCUGCAAUAAAAAUAAGGAUCUUCAUCGCUCCAUUUACAUGGAUAGGUUUAAUUGUAUCAUCCAGAACCUGAAUCUUAGGGAGAUCCAUAUGGGGGGAGGCAGAUAUACAUGGACUAGUAAGCAAAGGCACCCUACUUUGAUUGCCACUAGGGCAUAUUUCCUUCACCCUGAGUGGGAAGACAUGUUUCCUUUAGUUGCUAUUCGUAAGCUGGUGUGAGAUGUUUUGGACCACAAUCCCCGGUUGCUCUCCUCUGAACCUUUAAAGAACAAACCCCCUCACCAACGUGAAUUCAGGUUUGAAUUGAGCUGGUUGAAGAAUGAAGAAUUUUAUGUUAACGCCAAGAUGAUUUGGGAACAACCUGUAAACUCUGAGGAUCCAAUUGAUAUUCUGAAUAUCAAACUGAAGCGCAUCAAAAAAUAUUUUAAAGGCUGGGGGUCGCAUGCAUUUGGGCAUGCGAGGAAAGGGAAAAAAUGGAUCAAGCAGGAGUUGGAAGAGAUUGAAAAAGAAGAGGAAAAUGGCCCCCUUGAUCCGGAUACGUAUGAGAAAAGGACUUUUUAUGUGCGGAACUGA
Molecule: ribosomal RNA, 969 nt
Filed under: Triticum aestivum (bread wheat)
Lineage: Eukaryota; Viridiplantae; Streptophyta; Magnoliopsida; Poales; Poaceae
Description: partial small subunit ribosomal RNA
Source: RNAcentral